GAUCCUGGCUCAGGAUGAACGCUAGCGACAGGCUUAACACAUGCAAGUCGAGGGGCAGCACGGUGUAGCAAUACACUGGUGGCGACCGGCGCACGGGUGAGUAACACGUGUGCAACCAACCCCGUACCGGGAGAUAACCCGCGGAAACGUGGACUAACAUCCCAUGAUACUCGAGAGCCGCAUGGCUCUCGAUUUAAAAUUCCGGUGGUACGGGACGGGCACGCGCGACAUUAGGUAGUUGGCGGGGUAACGG
Molecule: ribosomal RNA, 253 nt
Filed under: uncultured bacterium
Lineage: Bacteria
Description: partial 16S ribosomal RNA
Rfam family: Bacterial small subunit ribosomal RNA
Source: RNAcentral